This 274-nucleotide ribosomal RNA is filed under the name uncultured bacterium. RNAcentral's name for it is "partial 16S ribosomal RNA". It matches the Rfam family "Bacterial small subunit ribosomal RNA", at positions 523 to 796 of the family's 1533-position model. The record is from RNAcentral.
AUACGGAGGGUGCAAGCGUUAUCCGGAUUCAUUGGGUUUAAAGGGUACGUAGGCGGAUAGAUAAGUUAGUGGUGAAAUCCCGAAGCUCAACUUCGGAACUGCCAUUAAAACUGUCUAUCUUGAAUUUGGUUGAAGUGGGCGGAAUAUGACAUGUAGCGGUGAAAUGCAUAGAUAUGUCAUGGAACACCAAUAGUGAAGACAGCUCACUAAGCCAAUAUUGACGCUGAGGUACGAAAGCAUGGGUAGCGAACAGGAUUAGAAACCCCGGUAGUCC